CACGUAGGGGACGAGCGUUGUCCGGAUUUACUGGGCGUAAAGAGCGCGCAGGCGGUCGUUCAAGUCGCGUGUGAAAGCCCCCGGCUCAACUGGGGAGGGUCAUUCGAUACUGAUCGACUCGAAGGCAGGAGAGGGUAGUGGAAUUCCCGGUGUAGUGGUGAAAUGCGUAGAUAUCGGGAGGAACACCAGUGGCGAAGGCGACUACCUGGCCUGUUCUUGACGCUGAGGCGCGAAAGCUAGGGGAGCAAACGGG
RNAcentral lists this ribosomal RNA (253 nucleotides) under uncultured bacterium. RNAcentral describes it as "partial 16S ribosomal RNA". It matches the Rfam family "Bacterial small subunit ribosomal RNA", at positions 524 to 776 of the family's 1533-position model. The record is from RNAcentral.